CCCUUAGAUGUUCUGGGCUGCACGCGCGCUACACUGAAGCUAUCAACACGUUUUCCCUCCCUGAGAAGGGCGGGUAACCUUUUGAAUCAGCUUCGUGGUAGGGAUCGGGGCUUGCAAUUGUUCCCCGUGAACCAGGAAUUCCUAGUAGACGCGAGUCUUAAGCUCGCAUCGAUUAAGUCCCUGCCCUUUGUACACACCGCCCGUCGCUACUACCGAUUGAACGUUUUAGUGAGGCAUUUGGACCGACGCAUCUCAGUUUAACCGCUGGUUUGUGUUGGAAAGACUUCCAAACUUGAGCGUUUAGAGGAAGUAAAAGUCGUAACA
This 324-nucleotide ribosomal RNA is filed under the name uncultured eukaryote. RNAcentral describes it as "partial 18S ribosomal RNA". It matches the Rfam family "Eukaryotic small subunit ribosomal RNA", at positions 1470 to 1796 of the family's 1831-position model. The record is from RNAcentral.